CUUGAUCAGAGUUUCUGGACUUUCAGAUCAUCCACGGGAGGGUGCGCCCACUUUCACGCCCCCUCACCAAAGCU
This 74-nucleotide small RNA is filed under the name Mycobacterium ulcerans Agy99. RNAcentral describes it as "Actinobacteria sRNA Ms_AS-8". It matches the Rfam family "Actinobacteria sRNA Ms_AS-8". Lineage: Bacteria; Bacillati; Actinomycetota; Actinomycetes; Mycobacteriales; Mycobacteriaceae. The record is from Rfam by way of RNAcentral.